ACUUCAAAGAUGCAUUAAAUCUUGUACACAGAUAUCUGCACGUACUGAUACAACUCACUGUACCAUUGACAUCUCCUUCAGGUUCCUCAAGAAGCUUCCGGCAGAGCACCAAGCUCCAGCCUUAGGACACCUGGACUCUAGCAGCUGGUUUCUUUUGUAACUGCCUCCAGCCACACCUUUUGAAAGCACGCUCUUUUUUCUGCCUGCUACAGAAAAACCACAGCACAUUUCUGCAAGAAAUCAAAGGUCUCAAGGAGAGGACUGGCAAACAGCUGCCCUAUCAAGCCAGAGGCCCACACGAGCAAAGCAGAAGGAGGGAGGAGAUGAAGGACAGAGCAUCAGAGGGCAUCAGGAGCAGGAAGUGAAAGCCCUGAAGACAUGGUGGCCGUGAGCCCUUGCUUCCGUUCUCUCCCAUUCCACCUCCACUGCAAAACUGAGAAAUCUGGAAUCAGCUCAGCUCUGUGGCUGUACCUGGAAGUUCAAGUUAGUCUCCAGAAGACGAAACAGAAGAAGAGAAAGAGUGCAAAGCUUCAACAGAUAUUACUGUCCUGCAGUUGUAAGUUAGGGCUGCCCUUUUCAAGGGCAGGAAAAGUACUGCUUCUUGUGCAAGAGCCAGCAUCCCAGGAAGAGCUCCGUCUGAGCCAAAUCAUCACUUGGGUUUGUUACUUACCCUGUGCAUGGUAACCUCUGGCUUAAAACCAAGUUUGCGGCACUUCACUGUAGAAGUGAUGAUGGGCUAAAUUGCUUCCUGAGUGGCACCCACAAAUAAAUAUUAGAGCUGAUCAAACA
RNAcentral lists this long non-coding RNA (789 nucleotides) under Calidris pugnax (ruff). Its description in RNAcentral is "lncRNA (ENSCPUG00000009799.1)". Lineage: Eukaryota; Metazoa; Chordata; Aves; Charadriiformes; Scolopacidae. The record is from RNAcentral.